UGAUUUUAAUUUUUUCGUCGC
Molecule: non-coding RNA, 21 nt
Organism: Caenorhabditis elegans
Lineage: Eukaryota; Metazoa; Nematoda; Chromadorea; Rhabditida; Rhabditidae
Source: Ensembl